GGACCCGCACAAGCGGUGGAGCAUGUGGUUUAAUUCGAAGCAACGCGAAGAACCUUACCAGGUCUUGACAUCCUUUGACCACUCUAGAGAUAGAGCUUUCCCUUCGGGGACAAAGUGACAGGUGGUGCAUGGUUGUCGUCAGCUCGUGUCGUGAGAUGUUGGUUAAGUCCCGCAACGAGCGCAACCCUUAUUACUAGUUGCCAGCAUUUAGUUGGGCACUCUAGUGAGACUGCCGGUGACAAACCGGAGGAAGGUGGGGAUGACGUCAAAUCAUCAUGCCCCUUAUGACCUGGGCUACACACGUGCUACAAUGGAUGGUACAACGAGUCGCAAGGUCGCGAGGCCAAGCU
This 350-nucleotide ribosomal RNA is filed under the name uncultured bacterium. RNAcentral describes it as "bacterial SSU rRNA". It matches the Rfam family "Bacterial small subunit ribosomal RNA", at positions 917 to 1269 of the family's 1533-position model. The record is from RNAcentral.